UAACUGAGAGAACAGGGUGAAAUUUUAUAUUCGUUUCCUGUGACUGGUGUAACAACUUACUACAAAGAUGGUGACUGUUUUUUUCUCUCACAUCUCUGAAGGUCAGAAAUCCAAAAUCAAGGUGUGGGCAAGGCCAUGAUCCCUCUGGAAGCUCUAAGGGAGAAUCUGUUUUUUGCCUUUUCCAGUUUCUGGUGGUCGCUGGACACUGUUUCUAAGCUUGUGACUGUAUGGCUCAAAUCUCUGCCUGCCUCUUCACAUGGUCAUCUCUUUUUCUGUAUGUCUCAUCUUCAUUUGCCUCUCUCUUACAGGGACACUUGUAAUGGCAUUUAGGGACCACUCGGAAAAUGAAGGAUUUUCUCUUCAUUUUAAAAUGCUUUAGGGAGUUCCUGUUGUGGCUCAGGGUUGAAGAACCUGACUAGUAUCCAUGAGGGUGCAGGUUCGAUCCCUGGCCUCUAUCAGAGCAUUAAGGAUCCAGCGUUGCUCUGAGAUGUGGUGUAGGUCGCAGACUCGGCUUGAAUCUUGUGGUGCCGUGGCUGUGGCAUAGGCUAGCAGAUGACAGGUCUGAUUUAACCUCUAGCCUGGGAAGUUACAUAUGCUUCAGGUGCAGUCCCCCAAAAAUAUUAAAAAAUAAAUAAAAUGCUUUAUUCAGUAGAUAUCUGCAAAGACUCUUCUGAAUAGGGCAACUUACACCAAUUUCAGGGAUUUGCUGUGGAUAUCUUUUGUGCACCAUUUUUUGGCCUAACAUGUUUAUUCUUUAUUGUAUUUUAAUUCAUUAUUGGUAAUUAAUAUAUAAGAUCAAUCUGCUGGCCCCGGCAGGCUGAGAGGAUAGGAUUCAGGAUACUGAACUUUGAAUUUAGGUGUGGGGAUGGGGUAGGGAGCAAAAGGUCUAGAGUGUCAACUUUUUUAGGGAAGGCUGGUUUGGGUGGGGCAGCUCAGUGAGAGACCCUGGAUGGUCAGGAAGCAGCACACAGGACUCUGGGCACAUGAUGUGGAGGAGAGAGUAUAGAAAGGGCAAGAAAGGGGUGAUGAGCCAAGAUUUAACUUCUGUUUGUUUUUAGUACACUGAAUGUGAAUGGUCCUCACCCUUCAAACUCUCUAUAUGUAUAAGGAAAUGGGCACUCUCAAACAUUGCUGGUAAGACUGGUGGAGUUUGUAAAAUACUUUUGGAGGAUAAUUCUACAUAUACAUCAUACACUUCUAUCCAGUUAUUUACCUUUAAGAAUCCAUUUUAAGGAAAUAAUCAGAACACAGGAAUAUUUGUGCACAAAGACAUUCCUUAAAUACUUUUUUAUGGUACUCUUUUAUUUUUUUAUUUUUUAUUAUUUUUUAGUUUUUCUUAGACUGAGACAGAGAUGGGGCACACAGAUAGAACAUUUCCAAAUUCUUUCUAUUGUUUUCUUUAAAAAAAUUUUUUUAUGGCCACACCCAUGGCAUAUGGAAGUUCCCCAGCCAGGGGUUGAAUCCCAGCUGCAGCUUCAACCUAUGUCACAGCUGUGGCAAUGCUUGAAUCAUUUAACCUACUGUGCCAGGCCAGGGAUCAAACCUGCACCUCCAUAGCAACCCGGGUCACUAGCAGUCAGAUUAUUUUUUUAUAUUUUAUUUUAUUUUACUAUUUUAUUUUAUUUUUUGCUUUUUAGGGCCGUACCAGUGGCAUAUGGAAGUUCCCAGGCUAGGGGUUGAGUCAGAGAUGCAGCUGCUGGCCACAGCCACAGCAACGCAGGAUCCUAGCCACGUCUGCCAGGUCCUUAACCCACUGACUGAGGGCAGGAAUUAAACCUAUGUCCUCAUGGAUACUAGUCAGAUUCAUUUCCGCUGUACCACAAUGGGAACUCCGGCAGUCAGAUUCUUAACCCAUGGUGUUACAGCAGGAACUCUUCUAUAGCUUUCUUAUUAUUUGUAAAAAUGCAUAAUCGCGUCCUAAUAGGCCUGACAAUAGCUCUGGCCUUCGUCAUGUUUUGUGAUGAAACAUUUGCCAGAAAUCAAUUUGAUCCAUUUAGUGGGGCAAAUGGACACAGCUUUCCUGUUCCUGUUUUCCUUUUUUUUUUUUUUUUUUUUUUGCCUUGAGCUCAGAUUUUAAUUUUUAAGUUUUUUUAAUUUAAUUUUAAUUUUUUGCUUUUUACAGCCACACCCAUGGCAUAUGGAAGUUCCCAGGCUAGAGGGCCAAAUCGGAGCUACAGUUGCUGGCCUACACCACAGCUACAGCAACACCAGGUCCAACACAAGGUCUGCAAUCUACAUCACAGCUCACAGCAAUGCCGGAUCCUUAACCCACUGAGUGAGGCCAGGGAUCCUCAUGGAUACUAGUCAGAUUUGUUCCCACUGAGCCACAAUGGGAACUCUGAGCUCAGAUUUUUAAAAACAUGUAUUUUAAAAAUCAAGUAUAGCUUUUUCCAAUUGUCAUUUAAGUUACCAUUGAAUAGAAUCUUAGGAAACAAGAUUAUUUUUUUUGUCUUUUUGCCUUUUUCUAGGGCUGCUCCUGUAGCACAUGGAGGUUCCCAGGCUAGGGGUCUAAUCUGAGCUGCAGCUGUCGGCCUGCGCCAGAGCCACAGCAACACAGGAUCUGAGCCGCAUCUGCAACCUACACCACAGCUAACGGCAACGCCGGAUCCUUAACCCACUGAGCAAGGCCAGGGAUCAAACCUGCAACCUCAUGGUUCCUAGUUGGAUUCGUUAACCACUGAGCCACAACGGGAACUACGAAAAUUUUCAAAUAAACAACCCAAACUUACACCUAAAACAACUAGAAAAAGAACAAACAAAACCCAAAGUUGGUAGAAGGUAAGAAAUCAUACAGAUCAGAGGAGAAAAUGAAAUAGAGAUGAAAGAAACAAUAAAUAUCAGUAAAACUAAAAGCCCAUUUUUGAAACAAUCAACAAAAUCGAUAAACCCUUAGACCAUCAAGAAAAAAGGGACAGGUCUCAAAUCAAUAAAAUUAGAAAUGAAAAAGGGGAAAUUUCAAAUGACACCACAGAGAUACAAAGGAUCAUAAGAGACUACUAGAAGCAACUAUAUGCCAAUAAUGUCGAAAACCUAGAGGAAACUGACAAACUCUUACAAAGGUACAACCUACCAAGACUGAACCAGGAAGAAAUAAAAAAUAUGAAUGUCUAUUCACAAGUACUGAAAUUGAAACUGUGAUUUAAAAACUUCCAAAAAACAAAAGUCCAGGACCAGAUGGCUUCACAGGUGAAUUCUAUCAAACAUUCAGAGAAGAGGUAACAUUUAUUCUUCUGAAACUCUUCCAAAAAAUUGCAGAGGAAGGAACACUAGUAAGCUCAUUCUAUGAGGCUACCAUCACACCGAUGCCAAAACCAGACAAGAAUACCACAUAAAAAGAAAAUUACUGGUCAAUAUCACAGAUGAACACAGAUGCAAAAAUCCUCAAAAAAUAUUACCAAACUGAAUCCAACAAUAUAUUAAAAGCAUACAACAUGAUCAAGUGGGAUUUAUCCCAGGGAUGCAAGGAUUCUUCAACAUUCACAAGUCACAAAUCAAUCAGUGUGAUAUACCACAUCAACGAACUGAAGAAUAAAAACCAUAUAACCAUCUCAAUCGAUGUAGAAAAGGCUUCUGACAAAAUUCAAUAACUAUUUUUGAUUAAAAAAACACUCCAGAAAGUGCGCAUAUAUGGAAUCUUCCUCAACAUAAUAACGGCCAUAUAUGACAAACCCACAGCUAACAUUAUUCUCAACAGUGAAAACCUGAAACCAUUUCCGCUAAGAUCAGGAAGAAGAUAAGGAUGUCCACUUUCACCACUGUUGUUCAAAGUAGUUUUGCAAAUCCUAGCCAGGGCAAUCAAAGGAGAAGAAAUACAAGGAAUUCAAAUUGGAAAAGAAGUAAAACUGGCACUGUUUGUAGAUGACAUGGUACUAUACAUAGAAAAUCCUAAAGAUGAUACCAGAAAACGGUUAGAGCUCACCAAUGAAUCUGGCAAAGUUCCAGGAUACAAAAUUAAUAUAUGGAAAUCUCUUGCAUUCCUAUACACUAACAAUGAAAAA
RNAcentral lists this long non-coding RNA (3998 nucleotides) under Sus scrofa (pig). RNAcentral's name for it is "lncRNA (ENSSSCG00040051282.1)". Lineage: Eukaryota; Metazoa; Chordata; Mammalia; Artiodactyla; Suidae. The record is from RNAcentral.